GGAAACGGUAGCUAAUACCGAAUACUUGCUUUCUUCGCCUGAAGGGAGCUGGAAAGACGGAGCAAUCUGUCACUUGAGGAUGGGCCUGCGGCGCAUUAGCUAGUUGGUGAGGUAACGGCUCACCAAGGCGACGAUGCGUAGCCGACCUGAGAGGGUGAUCGGCCACACUGGGACUGAGACACGGCCCAGACUCCUACGGGAGGCAGCAGUAGGGAAUCUUCCGCAAUGGGCGAAAGCCUGACGGAGCAAUGCCGCGUGAGUGAUGAAGGUUUUCGGAUCGUAAAGCUCUGUUGCCAGGGAAGAACGUCCUUGAGAGUAACUGCUCAAGGAGUGACGGUACCUGAGAAGAAAGCCCCGGCUAACUACGUGCCAGCAGCCGCGGUAAUACGUAGGGGGCAAGCGUUGUCCGGAAUUAUUGGGCGUAAAGCGCGCGCAGGCGGUCAUUUAAGUCUGGUGUUUAAUCCCGGGGCUCAACCCCGGAUCGCACUGGAAACUGGAUGACUUGAGUGCAGAAGAGGAGAGUGGAAUUCCACGUGUAGCGGUGAAAUGCGUAGAGAUGUGGAGGAACACCAGUGGCGAAAGGCGACUCUCUGGGCUGUAA
Molecule: ribosomal RNA, 601 nt
Filed under: Paenibacillus xylanilyticus
Lineage: Bacteria; Bacillati; Bacillota; Bacilli; Caryophanales; Paenibacillaceae
Description: bacterial SSU rRNA
Rfam family: Bacterial small subunit ribosomal RNA
Source: RNAcentral